This 80-nucleotide long non-coding RNA is filed under the name Chinchilla lanigera (long-tailed chinchilla). RNAcentral describes it as "lncRNA (ENSCLAG00000022938.1)". Lineage: Eukaryota; Metazoa; Chordata; Mammalia; Rodentia; Chinchillidae. The record is from RNAcentral.
CUGCGGGCUGCAGAGCAUCAGAGAAGCUGUGUUGCAAACGUCACAGAGCCCUAUGGCCUUCAGCAUGGUACAAAUCCCAA